Molecule: long non-coding RNA, 268 nt
Organism: Prunus dulcis (almond)
Lineage: Eukaryota; Viridiplantae; Streptophyta; Magnoliopsida; Rosales; Rosaceae
Exons: 3
Source: RefSeq, a predicted model, not a curated record
CUCUCUUUAGCCUAGCUCUCUGUCUCUCCGACAUAGUCAUCUUCCUCCCUCAGCCAUCCAAGCUUAACUCCACAGUUCACAUCCACGAGGGGUUUCUUCCAAAUUGGUUUGAUAGGAAGGUGAUGUUGUUGUUGCUGUCGCUGACAGACUAUUUUUCCUGGGUUGUGGUUGGUGGGUGUUACUGCGAAUGCUUACAAGGUUGCUGAUUCUCCUUCUAAGAGGUGGAUUUCUUUUGUGCCCAAAAGAUUGUGACUUUGUUGAAAGUUCG